GGUAGACUGGGUAUUUCUUCUCUCUGUGUGUCAUGUUGUCAGCUAGGACACUGAGGUGGCCGCCAUCAUCUGGGAGCCAGGCUGAGAGCUCUGCUGGGCUCUGAUGUCUCUCGAGUGGCUGACGUCAUCCCCAGGCUCUACUGGGACCUCAGCUGGAGCUGUUGGCUGCAGUCUGCUCCAUGGGGCCUUUCCAUGUAGUUUCUUAGGUGCCCGUAACAUGGCAGAUGGAUUUCAAGAGGGAGCACUCCAAGAGGACAGGUCUCAGGAGCAAGCACUUAAAAACUUUUGCUUGCAUCUCACUUGCUGGAGCCCUCUUAGGCAUUGCUAAUCACAUGACCAAACCCAAAGGCAUCAUGGGAGGGGUUUCCCAGGCUGCGAAUGCUGGGAGAUGCACUUCUUUGGGGGUUGCCAAAGCACAGCCUCCUAUAGCAGGUAAAGCAGGUAUUGGCAAAGCUUAUACCAGUUUAAUGUUCUCAACAAGAGCAUGUGAGAGUGUGCGGGUUCUCACCCCCCUUACUAAGAAUGAUCAUUGUCCAUCAUGUUAACAUUGGCCAAUCAGAUGGAAGGGGGAAGGCCUCAUUACUGUUUACCUUGGAUUCAUUCCAUUAUUAGUGAACUCACACAUCUUUUCAUAUGUUGAUUGACCAUUUAUUUUUCUUUUAUGAAUGUUCAUUUAUGUGUUUGCCCAUUUUUAAUUUGGUUGUUGCUUUUCCUGUUGAUUUUUUUAAAUUUCCUUGUGAAUUAGAGAAAAGCUAUUUAAUUAUGCCACGUGAUUUCUGUCUAUCUCUGUUUUCACAUCUACAAAAUAGAAAGUAACUUCAAAACUGGUUCUACCACAGGUUGAUGUGAGAUCAAAUAGAUAAAACAGGUGAAAGCACGUUGCAAAGGAAAAUACUUGAUGCCGGCAUUGGCCCCUCUCUACCAGCCUAACAAAAUGUAUCUGCUCACGAAAUCUUAACCAGCUUUUGCUUCACAUAACAUAAAAGUAACUAUCAUAGGAUGGAGAAAGGUAGCAAUACUGUAUAACGAUGAAAAUUUAUAUUAAAAUGUUUAAUUUGCCUUCAGGCUAGUUUCUGGACUGAACACAAUUUCCUUCAGGCUCUGAGCUGAUGCUAAUUUGCAUAUACUACCUAAUUGUCACUCCAUCCUGUGUUAGAAAUAGUUGUGUUUCAUCCCAUCUUGAGCUAUUCUUAACUCCCUAAUAAUUUUUUUAAUCCUUAUUUUGGAGUGAAUCGUGGCUGAAUGUUAAGGUUUUCACUUUUUUUCUUAUGGGAGAAGGGAACUAACUUUGUAUACAUAUUUUAUGUCCUCCUUACAACCAUUUCAUGAGAUAAUAUUACUGGCCUCAUUUUAUAGACAAGAAAAUAGGGGCCAGGUGAUGACUCAUGCCUGUAAUUCCAGCACCUCAGGAGGCUGAGGCAGGCAGAUCGCUUGAGCCCAGGAGUUCGAGGCAACAGUAAGCUACAAUUUCACCACUGCACUUCACCACUGCAGUUGCAACAUUGCACCUUUUGUCACUAGGUGAUACAGCGAGACCCUCUCUCUAAAAAACAUAAUAAAAAUGCUAAAAAGAAAUGAAAUUAAACUCAGAGGUAACUUACCCAAGUAAGGAAUGGAUCUGGGCCUGUAUUAGUUUUCUGUGUUGUUAUAUAACAAGUUACCACAAACUUAGCAGCUUGAAACAACAUAAAUGUAUGAUCCUCCAGUGUCUGUGGAUCAGGAAUCUGGCACAGUGUGACUGGGCCUCUGCUCAGGGUCCCACGGGCUGAAAUCAAGGUGUCUGCCAGGACUGUGAGCUCCUUGAAGGCUCAGGGUCCUCAUCCGAGUUUAUUCAAGUUGUUGGCAGAAUUCAGUUCCUUGUGUUUGUGAGGCUGCAGUCCCGUUUUCUUGUUGACUGUCUUCUGCCCACCUUCCCUAAUACGUGAUCCCCUCCACAGCAUGCCAGUUGCUUCUUCAAGGCCAGCAGGAAAAUAUCUCUGACUUGCCUCCUCUCUAAGCUCUAGAUCCAAAGUUAAAGGGCUACCUGGACAAUCUCUCUUCUGGUUAAACUCACAGUCGGCUGAUUAGUAACUAUAAUCACAUCUGUUAAGCCUCUUUUGCCAUGUAACAUAACAUAAUCACGGGAGUGAUACCAUUGUAUUCAUAGGUCCCACCCACACUGAAGGGGAGGGGCUCAUGGAAGGUGCCCACUGGGCAGGGGGUGCUGGAUCUUCAGGGCCAUCUUAGAUUUCUGCCCCCACAGAGCACAUCUUGGCUCCACACCUUACGCUCUUUCAAUAGUAUUAUGGUCUACCAUAUUAAGAAAAAGUACAGGCCAGGCACAGUGGCUCACGCCUAUAAUCCCAGCAUGUUGAGACCAGCCUGACCUACAUGGUGAAACCCUGUCUCUACUGAAAAUACAAAGAUUAGCCAGGCAUGGUGGUGGGUGCCUGUAAUCUCAGCUGCUUGGGAGGCUGAGGCAGGAGAAUCAUCUGAACCCAGGAGGCAGAGGUUGCAGUGAGCCAAGAUCACACCACUGCACUUAGCCUGGGCGACAGAGUGAGACUCCAUCUCAAAAAAAAGUCCAAAGACAAUAGAGAUGACUAGAAGGGAUGGAUGGGCCUUUGACUUUCAGAAAUGCCUAAAUGUAUGCAUUUUAUUUAAAAUAUUGCAGUGCCUGGAAGCAGCGAGCCCUUUAUGACGCAAGGACAGAUGCCCAACAGCAGCAUGCAGGACAUGUACAACCAAAGUCCCUCCGGAGCAAUGUCUAACCUGGGCAUGGGGCAGCGCCAGCAGUUUCCCUAUGGAGCCAGUUACGACCGAAGGCAUGAACCUUAUGGGCAGCAGUAUCCAGGCCAAGGCCCUCCCUCGGGACAGCCACCGUAUGGAGGGCACCAGCCCGGCCUGUACCCACAGCAGCCGAAUUACAAACGCCAUAUGGACGGCAUGUACGGGCCCCCAGCCAAGCGCCAUGAGGGCGACAUGUACAACAUGCAGUACAGCAGCCAGCAGCAGGAGAUGUACAACCAGUAUGGAGGCUCCUACUCGGGCCCGGACCGCAGGCCCAUCCAGGGCCAGUACCCGUAUCCCUACAGCAGGGAGAGGAUGCAGGGCCCGGGGCAGAUCCAAACGCACGGAAUCCCACCUCAGAUGAUGGGCGGCCCGCUGCAGUCGUCCUCCAGUGAGGGGCCUCAGCAGAAUAUGUGGGCAGCACGCAAUGAUAUGCCUUAUCCCUACCAGAACAGGCAGGGCCCUGGCGGCCCUACACAGGCGCCCCCUUACCCAGGCAUGAACCGCACGGACGAUAUGAUGGUACCCGAUCAGAGGAUAAAUCAUGAGAGCCAGUGGCCUUCUCACGUCAGCCAGCGUCAGCCUUAUAUGUCGUCCUCAGCCUCCAUGCAGCCCAUCACACGCCCACCACAGCCGUCCUACCAGACGCCACCGUCACUGCCAAAUCACAUCUCCAGGGCGCCCAGCCCAGCGUCCUUCCAGCGCUCCCUGGAGAACCGCAUGUCUCCAAGCAAGUCUCCCUUUCUGCCGUCUAUGAAGAUGCAGAAGGUCAUGCCCACGGUCCCCACAUCCCAGGUCACCGGGCCACCGCCCCAACCACCCCCAAUUAGAAGGGAGAUCACCUUUCCUCCUGGCUCAGUAGAAGCAUCACAACCAGUCUUGAAACAAAGGCGAAAGAUUACCUCCAAAGAUAUCGUUACUCCUGAGGCGUGGCGUGUGAUGAUGUCCCUUAAAUCAGGUCUUUUGGCUGAGAGUACAUGGGCUUUGGACACUAUUAAUAUUCUUCUGUAUGAUGACAGCACUGUUGCUACUUUCAAUCUCUCCCAGUUGUCUGGAUUUCUCGAACUUUUAGUCGAGUACUUUAGAAAAUGCCUGAUUGACAUUUUUGGAAUUCUUACGGAAUAUGAAGUGGGAGACCCCAGCCAAAAAGCACUUGAUCACAACGCAGCAAGGAAGGAUGAUAGCCAGUCCUUGGCGGACGAUUCUGGGAAAGAGGAGGAAGAUGCUGAAUGUAUUGAUGACGACGAGGAAGACGAGGAGGACGAGGAGGAAGACAGUGAGAAGACAGAAAGCGAUGAAAAAAGCAGCAUCGCUCUGACUGCCCCGGACGCCGCUGCAGACCCAAAGGAGAAGCCCAAGCAAGCCAGUAAGUUCGACAAGCUGCCAAUAAAGAUAGUCAAAAAGAACAACCUGUUUGUUGUUGACCGAUCUGACAAGUUGGGGCGUGUGCAGGAGUUCAGUAGUGGCCUUCUGCACUGGCAGCUCGGCGGGGGCGACACCACUGAGCACAUUCAGACUCACUUUGAGAGCAAGAUGGAAAUUCCUCCUCGCAGGCGCCCACCUCCCCCCUUAAGCUCCGCAGGUAGAAAGAAAGAGCAAGAAGGCAAAGGCGACUCUGAAGAGCAGCAAGAGAAAAGCAUCAUAGCAACCAUCGAUGACGUCCUCUCUGCUCGGCCAGGGGCACUGCCCGAAGACGCAAACCCUGGGCCCCAGACCGAAAGCAGUAAGUUUCCCUUUGGUAUCCAGCAAGCCAAAAGUCACCGGAACAUCAAGCUGCUGGAGGACGAGCCCAGGAGCCGAGACGAGACUCCUCUGUGCACCAUCGCGCACUGGCAGGACUCGCUGGCUAAGCGAUGCAUCUGUGUGUCCAAUAUUGUCCGUAGCUUGUCAUUCGUGCCUGGCAAUGAUGCCGAAAUGUCCAAACAUCCAGGCUUGGUGCUGAUCCUGGGGAAGUUGAUUCUUCUUCACCACGAGCAUCCAGAGAGAAAGCGAGCACCGCAGACCUAUGAGAAAGAGGAGGAUGAGGACAAGGGGGUGGCCUGCAGCAAAGAUGAGUGGUGGUGGGACUGCCUCGAGGUCUUGAGGGAUAACACGUUGGUCACGUUGGCCAACAUUUCCGGGCAGCUAGACUUGUCUGCUUACACGGAAAGCAUCUGCUUGCCAAUUUUGGAUGGCUUGCUGCACUGGAUGGUGUGCCCGUCUGCAGAGGCACAAGAUCCCUUUCCAACUGUGGGACCCAACUCGGUCCUGUCGCCUCAGAGACUUGUGCUGGAGACCCUCUGUAAACUCAGUAUCCAGGACAAUAAUGUGGACCUGAUCUUGGCCACUCCUCCAUUUAGUCGUCAGGAGAAAUUCUAUGCUACAUUAGUUAGGUACGUUGGGGAUCGCAAAAACCCAGUCUGUCGAGAAAUGUCCAUGGCGCUUUUAUCGAACCUUGCCCAAGGGGACGCACUAGCGGCAAGGGCCAUAGCUGUGCAGAAAGGAAGCAUUGGAAACUUGAUAAGCUUCCUAGAGGAUGGGGUCACGAUGGCCCAGUACCAGCAGAGCCAGCACAACCUCAUGCACAUGCAGCCCCCGCCCCUGGAACCACCUAGCGUAGACAUGAUGUGCAGGGCGGCCAAGGCUUUGCUAGCCAUGGCCAGAGUGGACGAAAACCGCUCGGAAUUCCUUUUGCACGAGGGCCGGUUGCUGGAUAUCUCGAUAUCAGCUGUCCUGAACUCUCUGGUUGCAUCUGUCAUCUGUGAUGUACUGUUUCAGAUUGGGCAGUUAUGACAUAAGUGAGAAGGCAAGCAUGUGUGAGUGAAGAUUAGAGGGUCACAUAUAACUGGCUGUUUUCUGUUCUUGUUUAUCCAGCGUAGGAAGAAGGAAAAGAAAAUCUUUGCUCCUCUGCCCCAUUCACUAUUUACCAAUUGGGAAUUAAAGAAAUAAUUAAUUUGAACAGUUAUGAAAUUAAUAUUUGCUGUCUGUGUGUAUAAGUACAUCCUUUGGGGUUUUUUUUUUCUUUUUUUUUUUAACCAAAGUUGCUGUCUAGUGCAUUCAAAGGUCACUUUUUGUUUUUCACAGAUCUUUUUAAUGUUCUUUUCCAUGUUGUAUUGCAUUUUUGGGGGAAGCAAAUUGACUUUAAAGAAAAAAGUUGUGGCAAAAGAUGCUAAGAUGCGAAAAUUUCACCACACUGAGUCAAAAAGGUGAAAAAUUAUCCAUUUCCUAUGCGUUUUACUCCUCAGAGAAUGAAAAAAACUGCAUCCCAUCACCCAAAGUUCUGUGCAAUAGAAAUUUCUACAGAUACAGGUAUAGGGGCUCAAGGAGGUAUGUCAGUCAGUAGUCAAAACUAUGAAAUGAUACUGGUUUCUCCACAGGAAGAUGGUUCCAUUAGGCUGGGAGCAAAAACAAUGUUUUUUAAGAUUGAAAAUACAUACCUGACAACGAUCCGGAAACUGCUCCUCACCACUCCCGUCAUGCCUGCUGUCGGCGUUUGACCUUCCACAUGACAGUUCUUCACAAUUCCUUUAAUCAUUUUUUAAAUAUUUUUUUUACUGCCUAUGGGCUGUGAUGUAUAUAGAAGUUGUACAUUAAACAU
RNAcentral lists this small RNA (6346 nucleotides) under Pongo abelii (Sumatran orangutan). Its description in RNAcentral is "retained intron". Lineage: Eukaryota; Metazoa; Chordata; Mammalia; Primates; Hominidae. The record is from RNAcentral.